GGCUGGAUGGCCGAGCGGUCUAAGGCGCUAGACUCAAGAACCAAGUUCUUCUUCAUAAUGUGAGGUGUAUUCUAGUAUCGCAAGAUGCGUGGGUUCGAAUCCCACUCCAGUCA
Non-coding RNA from Neurospora sp. IMI 360204, 113 nucleotides. The record is from the annotation of a GenBank genome assembly. Lineage: Eukaryota; Fungi; Ascomycota; Sordariomycetes; Sordariales; Sordariaceae.